CCCGCCAGAGGCGGGGAACGAGGCCCUGCUGUGGAACCUGCGCCUGGGGGUCCCUGUGUCACUGGCGGGCGAGGGGGCUGAUACCGGAAGGGAGCUGGUCAGCCGCACGGUGAAGGAUGCAUAUUUCUGAGCGCUCACCGUGCGCUCUGCCGGGUACACACCCCGGUGUCUGGCUGUCCGAGCCUACGAGGUUACACGUGCAAGCCGGAGCCCGCGGUGCAGAGCGCGCCCUGAGGAGCCCGAGGCCUCACCCGGCUACCGUCCUGCUGUUACUGCUGACGACACUGCGCUGCGACGGCCUGUAAGUUCCUGUCUAGGAAACGCUGACAUUCACACAGAAAAAGAUUCGUCAGAUUGUGACUCCUCUUAAAGAUGACCCGUGCCUUCCGGCAACUCGGCUCUUCCAUUAAAGUCGAAGUCUCACCAUGGUGACGCUGCAUCUGAAAGGUGAGGGUGUAUGGGAUGGAAGCACAUCUGGUGGGUGGACAUGAGGACCACAGCAGCUGCAUCUGGAAGAUGAGUGUGCCUGAGAUGGAAGAUCUGGUGAGUGGACAUGAGCAUCCCGGGUAUACUGAGUAAACUCAGCCAAGGAUGCAUUGCAGGAGGUGAGGAAGCUGACUGUGGUUUGGAUGUCGUUUGCUGUCUCCACCAAAUUCCAUGUGAAACGUGAUCCUCGGUGUGUUGGUGUUUGGAGGUGGCGCCUAGUGGGAGGUGUUUACAUCCUGGUGGGAGGUGUUCACGUCCUGGGACUGAAUCCCUCUUUGUGAGGUAGUGAGUGUGGUUUCACUCUCAGAGACUGGACUGGACUGGCUCCCGCUGGAGCUGUUGCAAUAAGGUGAAGUUUCUUCUGCUGCUUGGUCCUCUCCGCAUCUGUUCACUUCUCUGACCUUCUCCACCAGGUUACCCAGCUCAGAAGCCCUCGCAGGGAGCAAAGACCAGGCCCUUGAACUUCUCAACCUACAGAACAGUCAAAUGCUCAGAGCCAUAUGUGGCUCGAGGCUGCCAUGUUGCACAGUGCAAAUCCACAGAGCGUUUCAUCCAACGGUAUUGCAUUCCACAGCCCGCUGCCCUGAGGAGGGAAAUGCACAGAGCCUCCUCCUGACCCACAGCGCACAUGUGAGGAAUUCCAAAUAAGGUGGCAGUCUCCAUGCUCUUAAAGGAGGAGAGUGUAACUCCCACUGCAUAAGUGAAGGCCAUGCAUAGUGAAUUUGCUUCAGUGAGUCUGGAAAGUGGGACAAGGGAGUAACUUGCCUGUGGAGAAACCUGGCAGAGGCCACGACCGCCAAGUGAGGUGGGUGCUACAGUGAUGAGUCAUUGACCAAAGGUGCCUUGACAGAGUGUAAUAAAGAUAGCACUUUACUUCUAUGGUCUUCUUCCCCAAAUUCCAUAAUCCCAAUCGGAUCAUCAGAAAAACCCCAACUGAGAGAAAUUCUACAGCAUACCUGACCAUUACUCUUCAAAACUAUCCCAAUCAUUGAAAACAAGGAAAAUCUGAGAAACUGCCAGCGGAUAGGGGUCUAGGGAGAUGUGACAACUGCAUACACAGUGGCAUCCCGGAUGGGGUCCUGGAACAGAAAAAUAACAUCAGGUUAGCAACUAAGGCAUCCCGAAUAGGCUUUGGACAUUAUUAGUCAAUGAUUAUUAUGACGCAAACAUAUGAUCAUUAUGUCAAGAUAGGGAACACAUCUCCCAUCUUGUCAAAUAAUUUAUUGAGCAUAUUUAUCAAUUGUUGUUAAGUCAAGUCUGUCUGAUAGCCUUGUUUGAUUUCUGAUCUCCUGAUGUUUGAUUUUUAUUGAUAUUAAAUGUCCUGAUUGUGCGGAGUCAGUGCAGUCUCUGUGUGUGCUUGGUGACAUCUGAGUGAAUGUCACACGCUUGUGUAAAUGAUAGCAGAGAGAAUGGGGGGUCCAUAUGAUACCAUCUUUCCCCAAAGUGGAGCCAUUUGACACUGGCUGGUGGCCCAGCUAGAGGCAGAUGAUGCCUGCUCACCAAGGACCGAGGUCACCCAGCUGUGUCUCAGCCUCUCUUUGAGGGAACCCUUCUUUCUCACUCACCCAUGCUUCUAGGGGUCACAUUUGGAGCUCCAGCUUCAGCCCCUUGAGAUUUAAAGUCAGUUUCUGUUCCUCAGACUCGUCCCCUCUUCCCUCCAGGGCCAGCGUUCACUACAUCCCUGGCCACAUCAGCCCUCAGGGAUUUGGUCUUUAUGGGGAAAGACAGGAAGAGUAUUUUAAGACAUUUAAAGUAGAAAAUAUUUUUGGCCUUGGGGAAAAAUGUUAAGGGUCUGAGAAAGAAAAAUAGCCUAAUUAGAUUCCUGGUGACAUUGACUUCCCAAAAAUGGCAAAUGUUGCGUGGAGAAGGAGAGAGAUCUUCCCCGUGAGCCAGCAGGACAGUCAUGAGGGCAAUGCCUUGGAGGCAUGUGAGAAUUGGGUAAAUUCAGUGGCACACACUAGUGAUUUGAACAACAGUUUAUGGCUCUCUCCCCUCUCUCUUUAUUUUUUCUUUACAGUUUUAUUCCCUCUGGUUCAUAUUAUCCUUUUUUUCUAAAACUAAUGUGAUUUUUGAAACAACAGAUGUGAUAAACCAACAUUAAAUUACGUUCCCAAAUUUAAGAAAAGGUUUAGGAGAAAGUAGUUUCAUAAUCAAUGUUUGAUAAGCACAAUUAUUUUUUAACAUGUAAGACUUUACCAACUUAAAUCUAGACAGUACAUUAAAGUUUAAAAGUCCAGUUUGUAGGGGUGUAUCAAUAGUUAAAUUAAUAAUUUUAAAAUUUCUUUAUUUCUGGCAUAAUAUUCUAUUUUUAUUUUCACUUAUAAAACAUACUAUACGUUUGUAUGCAAAAUGUAAGGUGCCAAUACCUUUGUUGAGUUUUGAAAACAUUUAUUAAUUAAGGAACAUCAACAUAUAAAAUUAUCUUCUAAAUAAACUUUAUGUUGAUCAAUAAUUUCUGGAUCAAAUUAACUUUAAGCAAACAAGAGAAAUAUGUACAGCUGUCACAGUAUAAUAAAAUAAAAAAUGAUCAUUUCAUGGAUUUGAGUCAACUGGACAUUUUCUGCAUAGUUUAUAAUGUACAGAAGCUGGAAGAUGCAUGUCUGAUACAUUUCCUGGGAAUAAAUGUAUCAUCUCUGAAACUCUUAUGGCUCCAAUAAGGAACUCCUCAUGGUUGCUUUGGAAAUUCCACUUAAGAUGAAGACAGUGUUUUCUUUCCUCCAAUGUGAUCAGCAGUGCUGGUAAUCAAUACAUUAUUACCAGGCUUCUCAUGCCUGUUUCUAACAGACUAACACUUUUCUAGGAAAUGCUAAGCAACUUGAAUCUCACUCCUGGAACACAAGCCCCAGCCAUAUGGAUAACAAACAUUUAUCCUGUUUAUAUGGGAAGUCAUAGGAACACAUGGUUUCCUAACCAGGACAUCAAGGUCUUUGGAGGAAUCUUGCAGCCUGUUCCUGGCAGCUUUCUCUCCCCUCCUUCCUAGGCCAACCCUAACCCUAACCCUAACCCUAACGAGGACCCAGGUUUUUAAACAGCUAGAGUCUCCGUGUUUCUUCUGAUUAUGGUAGAAAAUAAAGCCCAAAAAAAUAAGCCUUUAUAAAAACAGCAUGGGUGUUUUUGUGAUAGAUUUCUAAGGGGUAAAAAAGGCAACUACGUUAGAAAUGUGAGCCUGGCAAGAGGGAAAAGCUGGCAUUAAGGACCUGCCAAAAUUCUAAAUUCACUUUCUUUUCUAUGCCAGAGUGAAUUUAAAAUAGAUAUAUAAAUGUCUGUUUCAUUUAUAUUCUUUAGUGAAAGCCAAAUACAUAAGCAAAAUAAAAUUUAAAAUACUACUAUUGAAUAAAGAAUUUGAAUACCCCUAUGAAGUAAGACAUAAUAGAAGCUUGGACCCUCCCUUAAAGUAAAUGGAGGAGGCUGCAGAGAGAAGGCUCUCUCACCAAAUUGCAGGAGAAAAGCAUAGCCCUCCAGCAGGAAAUGGAAGAUGGUGAUUUCAGGACAUUUGUCAGCUAAAGUUUUCACAAAACAGCUUUAUGCAGCCUUUUGAAUAAAUGCUGUGCAUGGUUGUGUGAAGGAGAUAUUAUUAGGAGGGGCUGAACUCUUAAAAUGAUGAAAUUGAGUUUACUGUAAAGUUGUAGAGGUGAAGGAAAUAAAAAUAAGCUUCUAUAAGUUAUAUGGGAAACAGAACUUCAAAAUCAAGAGAAAGAGAAGUUUUAACUUCCUUACGUCUAUUUGUUUAGGCUCUCUAGUGGAGGUCGGUAUUAGCACACACUACGUUAAACAUCUUGCACAGAAAAACAAAGUCAGCAUAUUCUGUCAGCCAAUGGAAGAGAGUGGAGUAAACCAGUGAUUACUUAACACACAUGCUUUAAAACAGCAAACUAUUGACGCAAUGUGGAGUAUAUUUAUGGUCUGUUACAUUUUACGAAAUGGUUUUAUUUGAUUUAUUUUUAAAAUACUUGUCAUUUUAGCAAUCUUCUGAUAAGAUGGUACAUUUAAAAGCUCAGAACAAAACACACAUGGAAUGAUUACCUUCUCUAGGAGCAAUGAAACCCAGCCUUUCUGGUUUAUUUCUUUCUUUUCACUAAUGAAAUCAUUACAAUUUUGUUAGGUCUAAUUAAAAGACCAAGAAGGCAUUUGGACGGAAAAAAAGGUAUCAAGUUUUGUGUAUUUUUGAUGUGUUUUCUACAGCCAGGACCAAGUCCUUGAAAACAAACUUCAACAAAGCAGCAUAAUUUCAUAAUGAAGAAAAGAAAGAACCCCGUAAAUACCUAAUUCCAGACUUUCCUUUGUCAUAAAGUCAGUGAUCUUCAUGCAUACAAUUUCACAUACAAAUUCCCAUUUCUUAUUUAUAAUCCCUUUCUAUUUACUGAGGAGGUCAUCUCCUGAUGUGGUUGAAAAUACGUUACUCUGUAACUAUGAUUUUUCUCAUGAUAAAAGUGAGAUGCAGGACAAGUCAGCUAUUAUUAUGGGAUAUAUGCGGAUGUGCUGGGAUGGAGUCCUCCACAAAAAAUCACGGGGGCAGAGCACGCUCUUAAGUCUCGGAGCUUCUUACCUGAGAAUGUUGAUUCUGAGUCACUACAGUGGCUUCCAGGAGUUGCCAACUUUUAAAAAAUUGUGUUCCACUAUUCCAAAUCUGGUCUCCUUCUUUGUUGAGAAAGAUGGAAGGCAGACGGCAAGCAUGACGUGGGGGCUUCUGUAGGGGCUCUUGCUGUGGGGUAAUCCUUGAUAAAAGAAAAACUUCAGCCAAAUUAAAUUUAAAAGACUUUGAGCAAUGAAUGAAUUGUGAACCAGACUGCCUUCUGAGCCAGAGUAGGUUCAGAGGUUCCAGCACAACCAUUCGGUGGAAGAAGAUUUAUGGACAUUGAAGGGAAAGUGACCUACAGAAAAUGGAAGGGAGGGACAGAAACAGCUGGAUUGGUUAUAGCUCAGCAUUUGCCUUAUCUGUCUUAUUUGAACACAGUUCGAACAGUUGACUACAUUUGAUUGGCCGAAACUCAGUGGCUGGCACAAGUGUAGGCUACAGUCUACGUACACCUCUCCUUGUUAUGUUCAUGAUGUGCAGAAAAACCUUUAGGCUGAACUUAAAAUCUCUAAGGAGGCAGCUUUAGGCUAAACUUGAUUUAACACCCUCAAGAUACCCGAUUCUUUUGCAGAUUUGAGUCAGGAUGGCUUCAGCCUAAGGAAGAGCUUGCUGGGCUCCUCCUAAGUGUGAGAGGUUGGAGGAGCCACCACCUGGGCCAACAUAAAUUACCCUCAGCAAGACAACACCAGAGAGAAACGCUUCCACCACGCACAGAAAUGGUUCCGGGGGCUAGAGAUUGAGACAGUCCCCAGCCACUGUGCAGUUCUUCAGUACUUCAGGGCCCACAGAACAAAGGGGCUAAUAGGAGGCCCAGGAGUUACUGCUGCCCCAAGGAAAGAGAGGAUUAUCUCCUGUGCCCAGAGGCCCCGUGGAAGUGGUCCUAACUUGCCAUGUCCAGGAUAAAAGCCAGGAGAGGCCCACACAAGCCCCAGGCAGGAGGGACUCCCAAUGGAGCAGCCACUGAGGAUGGAGAGUCCGAGAGCUGCGGGGCUGAUGGGGGCCCAGGGGCAGUGCGGAGCUGCAUGUGGGUUCCAGCUGCGGCCACACGACCUGUGCCAGGCACAGAGGCAACAGAGGCUGAGCACGUUCCCCUCCCACGCACCAGAGCACGUGUUCAUUGCAUCCGCUGUCUCCUGUUUUCCUUCUAACAUUACAGGUAAAUGGAUGCCUCAUCUGCUUAUUAUAUUUCUGCUUAUUAUAACCUACCCAGUCUCAGGUAUUCUAGUAUAUCAGCACAAAACAGAUCAUGACAUCCUGUAUCUCAAAAUGCAAUUGAGGUUUUCCAAAUUUCUGAAAAUAUUUAAAUAGUUUUGCUUCAUGUGCUCAGUUUUCCAUAUUUGCUGGUUUUUUAUAGGAAUAUUUCUCCUGAAUGUGGGCACUGCCAUAAAUCAUUCUUUAUCUAACUCACUGAAUUAGUGGAUCCCUCCCAAGACCUCUAUUUUGAUUUGCUGUGUCCUACAAAGUUAGAUAAUCCCAAGGCCAGCAUGUGUGUAUUCCUAGCCAGGGAUUCACCUAUUUAUGGAAAGUAUGCUGUAUUUCUUCCCAAGCCAAUUUAUAUAGUUUUGCUUGUCAUUAUAUCAUUUAACUGAAUUAAAUACUAAUAUUCAUAA
Non-coding RNA from Macaca mulatta (Rhesus monkey), 6672 nucleotides. NCBI's taxonomy places the organism in Eukaryota, Metazoa, Chordata, Mammalia, Primates, Cercopithecidae. The record is from RefSeq and is a predicted model, not a curated record.